GUGAACGCUGGCGGUAGGCCUAACACCUGCAAGUCGAACGGCAGCACAGUAAGAGCUUGCUCUUACGGGUGGCGAGUGGCGGACGGGUGAGGAAUACAUCGGAAUCUCCUUUUUCGUGGGGGAUAACGUAGGGAAACUUACGCUAAUACCGCAUACGACCUACGGGUGAAAGCAGGGGAUCUUCGGACCUUGCGCGAUUGUAUGAGCCGAUGUCGGAUUAGCUAGUUGGCGGGGUAAAGGCCCACCAAGGCGACGAUCCGUAGCUGGUCUGAGAGGAGGAUCAGCCACACUGGAACUGGGACACGGUCCAGACUCCUACGAGAGGCAGCAGUGGGGAAUAUUGGACAAUGGGCGCAAGCCUGAUCCAGCCAUACCGCGUGGGUGAAGGAGGCCUUCGGGUUGGAAAGCCCUUUUGUUGGGAAAGAAAAGCAGCAGGUUAAUACCCCGCUGUUCUGACGGUACCCAAAGAAUAAGCACCGGCUAACUUCGUG
This 491-nucleotide ribosomal RNA is filed under the name uncultured bacterium. Its description in RNAcentral is "partial 16S ribosomal RNA". It matches the Rfam family "Bacterial small subunit ribosomal RNA", at positions 29 to 507 of the family's 1533-position model. The record is from RNAcentral.